This 468-nucleotide ribosomal RNA is filed under the name uncultured bacterium. Its description in RNAcentral is "partial 16S ribosomal RNA". It matches the Rfam family "Bacterial small subunit ribosomal RNA", at positions 28 to 507 of the family's 1533-position model. The record is from RNAcentral.
GAUGAACGCUGGCGGCGUGCCUAAUACAUGCAAGUCGAACGGAAAGGCCCUGCGCUUGCGGGGCGCUCGAGAGGCGAACGGGUGAGUAACACGCGAGUAACCCGUCCCUGACAUUCGGAUAACUCUAGGAAAAAGGGGCUAAAAUAGGAUAGGAGCUCUUGCUGCACGGGGGGGGUUGGAAAGUUUCGGCGGUGGGGGAUGGUCUGGCGGCUUAUCAGCUGGAUGGUGGGGUAGUGGCGGACGAAGGCUUCGACGGGUAGCCGGCCUGAGAGGGUGACCGGCGACAUUGGGACUGAGAUACGGACCAGACGCCUACGGGAGGCAACAGUCGGAAGUAUUGCGGAAUGAGCGGAAGCCUGUUACAGCGGCGCCGCGUGCGGGAUGACCGGCUUCGAGUUAUGAACCGCUGUCGCCUGUAACGAGGCCUGAGUGACGGUAAUGGAUCAGAAAGCACCGGCUAACUACGUG